This 683-nucleotide unclassified non-coding RNA is filed under the name Sesleria ovata. Its description in RNAcentral is "contains 3' external transcribed spacer, ETS". Lineage: Eukaryota; Viridiplantae; Streptophyta; Magnoliopsida; Poales; Poaceae. The record is from RNAcentral.
GGCCGACUACCGACGCCGUGUCCUGUCAUUCGUGUGGCUUMUGUUACUGUURCCUUUCAAGUGYWUGCGUGCAGGUACCCGACCUACGGGAAGUGGUGCYUCGUAYACGUUUGCCUCGCAGCGGACGCCUUCGGGWGUCCCGCUGCGGCCAAAUGGCGCUUGCGGCGUUGCCUCGUGGUGCUGGCACGUUUACAUGCCCGGUGCUAUCAAGGCAGCCUCGCUCGUGCUAUUGGUUUUGGAUGUUGCUCACGAUAAAGGCUCAUGGCCCUUUUGGUUGCCUAGACCCGACCCUCAAGAAGCUCUCCGAAUCUGAAAGCAUCGUAGAACUGUGUUGCCUCUACCUAUCCAWAGUUARUGGUAGGAUACGUAACAUUCUGGACCCUUGCUAGUACGAGUAGGAGAGCUUUGCCCGCUCAAUUGCGACAACCGGCCCGGYUGUUGUCCGCCUGUAUUGCCUAGACCCGAUCUGACCCUCAAGAAGCUCUCCGAAUCUGAAAGCAUCGUAGAACUGUGUUGCCUCUACCUAUCCACAGUUAGUGGUAGGAUACRUAACAGUCUGGACCCUUGCUAGUAGGAGUGGAGAGCUUGGCCCCGCUCAAUUUACGAUAAAGGCUCAUGGGCGGGCAACUACUGGCGCUGGACGUCAAAGAGGACGUGCUACCUGGUUGAUCCUGCCAGUAGUC